ACAAAAAGGGAAUUAGGGUAACCUUAUGUGCCGAUUCAGAUUCUGAAAAAAUUUCCCUCGUUCUCGCGGCCGCUACCUUCUUCGAUCGGAGCUUCUCCUUCUCGAUUAUGAUCGUCGCCGCUCCAUGAGCAAAUCUCCGCCUUCUUCGCUUUCCUCUCCUCUUCUAUCUACUCUACUUGAACUCUUCAGGCUUGAUUCGAUCGGAGAAUCUUCAGAGAGAAUCCAGCGAUGUUGUUGAUGGUGAUGCGUGGUCGAGGGCUCUUGAUUGAAGAUUGAUCGGAUAUUGAUGAUGGUGAGAUGCACCGAUUUUGUGAAGGUUCGCGAUGGUGAAGAUUGAGCGAUGAAAACCGAUUCCGGCAAUGGAUGAAGAGCUCCGAUGAAGAUUUCAUGUAAAUUUGAUGGAGAAUUGAAGAUGAUAAUGAAGGUGAUUGAAAGAUUGAUGAUGAUGGUUGGAGAGGUGUUGAACGAUUCGGAGGGUGAUUGAUGAAAGUGGCGGUGACUGGUGUGAGGAAGAAGAUGGAUUGGAGGUGGUUAUGGUUCAGAAGUGAUGAUGAAUAUCGAUGGAGGUGUAGUGUGAGAGUGAAGUGAAAAGGUGGCGAAUUCUUCUGGCCUUGUGAAAACGAAUUUUUGAAGGUGAAGAGCGAAAUCCAGAGGAGCUUCAAUAUGCAGGGCGAAGCCUAUUAUAUAGGGAUGGAAGGUGCAAUGUUGAAUGGUUUUGGAGGAUUGGCUGAAUUCCCUUAAGCUUCCAUAAAGUCCCAGGAUCUUGACUUUUGAAAGAGAUGUGAAUUGGCAGAUGGCAUGAGUUUUAACCGUGUGGGGCUGACUGAAUGGUUUUCUUUAGUGAUGCAUGAUGAUUGAAGGAAGUUGAUGAAACAGGGCUGAACCGUUCGAAAUGCGGCUGGUUUUGAAUGUGUUGGUGAGAAGUAAUGCGAGAUUGGUGCGUUCACGUUAUCACGAUGAGAUGAACCGGCAUAAGUGUUACAAGGGAAGAGUUUUAGUCUGAAUUCAGUGACAACCAUCUUGGAAUGAACUUGUUUUUUGAUCUGAAUUGUUUUUCUUGGUUAUGCAGGUUUCAACUAUGGAUGCUUUGUCUUGAACUAAUUCUUUUGAGAACUCGCAUGAGGUUGUCCGCAUAUUUCUUCAUGUUACUUUCCACAGGUGCCAUCACGUAUAUGCUUAAAGCAUCUUCAAGGGAUUAUAGGCAGUGGCAGAGUGUUAAAGCCUGAGUGCUUGUAAUUUUCCAGCAUGAAGAGGGACGAAACCCAAGGAGAGAUGGUUUACACUUGUUCUGUAAAUUGAGCUCAGGAAUAAUCAACAGGGUAUUAGUGAUCAGGGUCAAAGGUCAACUAUUGACAAGAAGUCAACAAUUGACCAAAAAUGUCAACUCUGACUAAAAGUCAACCAUAGCCUUUUUUUUUUUGUAAUUUUCCUUUUGGAUGUAAUAAUAGGGAUGUUGAAUGGAAUUUGCAUACUUGUGUAGUACUUUGAAUGAGAAAUGAUGGGAAUUUGAACAAUGUUGAAUCGAAUGAUGUUUGGACCCCUGGAUGUGAAUUCUUCUUUUUGGUAACAAUGAAUAUGAUGGGCUUAAAUUUGUAACUGA
Molecule: long non-coding RNA, 1600 nt
Organism: Vicia villosa (hairy vetch)
Lineage: Eukaryota; Viridiplantae; Streptophyta; Magnoliopsida; Fabales; Fabaceae
Exons: 4
Source: RefSeq, a predicted model, not a curated record